UACGAAGGUGGCAAGCGUUGUUCGAAAUCACUGGGCUUAAAGGGCACGCAGGCGGCCGAUCAAGUGUCUUGUGAAAUCCCCCGGCUUAACCGAGGAAUUGCAGGGCAAACUGGUCGGCUUGAGGCAGGUAGGGGCGAGUGGAACUCUUGGUGGAGCGGUGGAAUGCGUAGAUAUCAAGAGGAACGCCGGAGGCGAAAGCGACUCGCUGGGCCUGUCCUGACGCUGAGGUGCGAAAGCCAGGGUAGCGAACGGGAUUAGAUACCCCCGUA
This 269-nucleotide ribosomal RNA is filed under the name uncultured prokaryote. RNAcentral's name for it is "partial 16S ribosomal RNA". It matches the Rfam family "Bacterial small subunit ribosomal RNA", at positions 524 to 792 of the family's 1533-position model. The record is from RNAcentral.